This 13952-nucleotide long non-coding RNA is filed under the name Vitis vinifera (wine grape). Its description in RNAcentral is "long non-coding RNA (VVIN_LNC001667)". The record is from RNAcentral. Lineage: Eukaryota; Viridiplantae; Streptophyta; Magnoliopsida; Vitales; Vitaceae.
GAAGGAUAAUUCUACCUUGCCACCCAUAGAUGAAGGUUCGAAGGGGAAGGAUCAGUCAACUUUGAUCCUCACUGGAUCGGUGCUGCUCAGUAGCUCAGCGUUCUUUAACUUUCUCUUCCUCCUAGCAAUUGUUCUGUUCAUCCGCCGCUGCAAGCACAGAAAAACAAGUGUUCUUCAGACAUCCCCAGCCAUGGAGGGAACAAAUCUCCGGAGCUUCACUUACGAAGAGCUAGAAGAAGCCACCAAUGGAUUCAGAGAUGAACUGGGGAGCGGGGCUUUUGCAACAGUUUACAAAGGGGCUCUACCCCAUGAUGAUGGAAUCAAUUUGAUUGCAGUGAAAAAGCUGGAGAGGAUGGAGAAAGAAGGAGACAAGGAAUUUGGGGCAGAAGUGAAAGCAAUUGGCCGGACAAAUCACAAGAACCUAGUCCAACUCCUGGGGUACUGCAACGAGGGGCAACACCGGCUUCUAGUAUACGAGUUCAUGAGCAAUGGUUCUUUGGCAACCUUCCUAUUUGGAAAUUCAAGGCCAGAUUGGUGUAAAAGAACACGGAUCAUCCUAGGAACUGCAAGAGGGCUCUUGUACUUGCAUGAGGAGUGCAGCACCCAGAUCAUACACUGUGACAUCAAGCCUCAAAACAUACUUUUAGAUGACUUUUUAACAGCAAGGAUUUCAGAUUUUGGGCUAGCCAAGCUUUUGAAGACGGAUCAGACGCGAACCAUGACUGGAAUCAGGGGAACCAAAGGGUAUGUUGCGCCUGAAUGGUUCAAGACAGUGCCUGUUACAGCCAAGGUUGAUGUUUACAGCUUUGGGAUUGUGUUGCUAGAGAUCAUUUUCUGCAGGAAGAACUUCGAACCCGAUGUAAGGGAUGAAAGUCAGAUGAUCCUGGCUGAUUGGGUGCAAGACUGCUACAAAGAGAAGAGAUUGGAUUUGCUGGUAGGAAAUGAUGAAGAGGUAUUUGGUGAUAUGGAGAAACUGGAGAAGUUUGUGAUGAUAGCAAUAUGGUGUACGCAGGAGGAUCCAUCUCGAAGACCCACCAUGAAGAAAGUUGUGCAAAUGCUAGAAGGAGCUGCUGAAGUUUCUAUUCCUCCAGACUCAUCUUUCUCAUCUGCCAGUAGUUCAAUCUAAUGCUAAUUUCCAUUUGGGUAUGUAUUUUCGGUUACUGUUCAGUGACAAACAAAGGAGACAGUUAUGUUGUGCUCCUAGCAUAUGAAUAAUCCAUAUGGUUUUGGAUCAUUUUUUACAUCAACCUCUGCUCAUCUCUCAAUUCAAAUUAUUAUUCCCUUUGAAGAAGUUAAAUUUUGGCUAUUUUUAUCCAAUCAAUAGUUAUUUACGAACUAGCAACAAAAAUAACAGUCACUAAGAGUUCAUUUGAUAGUGUUUUUAAAAAUUACUUUUAGCCUAAAAAGGGUUUUUGACAAAAUUUAUGAAACUCUUAAAAAUUUUAAAAAUUAUUUAAGGUAUUAAAAAAUCACUUGUAGUGUUUUUUUUAGAAAUACUUAGAACCCGUUUAGUAGUAAUACUAGAAAGCGCUUUUAAUAUUUUUAAUACCUGAAAAUUUUCAUCAUUCAAAUGAUAGAAAUACUAGAAACGUUUUCUAAAAUCACUCCCAAAUGCAUUCUUAGAUUAAAAAGUAUAUAAUUUGAUUAAAUAAAUACCAUGGUUAAGAAAAGAAACAACUUAACUCUUACUACAUCAUGCAAUAUUUGGCAUAACCAAUUUUUUUGACUUCCAUUAACCUCUUUGUAUAUGCUCAAUAAGAUGGCAUCACUUGAAUCACCUUCUACCUAUAGGUUAAAGAUAAGAAAAUGUUAGUGUACUAAUUGAUACCUAUCGAACUUAUCAUCCCAACCAUCCAAACUGUAUGAUGAAAUCUAAGUUAAUGAAUAUAGAUGCAAAUAAUGGGAUUAAAGUACAAAAGAAUGGAAUUGCAUAUAAACAAUGAGAUCAAUAUUAUAUAAAAGAAUGUGACCAAAAUACAAAGCAAUGUUUGGACUUGGACAUAAAACAAUGAAACCCAGUUGUGCACAUGGCACAUUAUAAUUGGUUUUGUUUUUCGGUACAUACCAAUUCGAUAUUGUAGUGAGACCCUUAAAUAUAUCCAUGACCUUUGCCUUAUAAUUUUAUGUGUGAUAUCUAAGAAAUGUGUAAUUUGAUUUGAUAAGAAGGGAAAGUUUUCUAUGCCUUAUGGGAGUAGCAUAUGGAUUAGCCUUAUCACAAAAUUAUGUGGUAUAUAAGAUGUGUUUUAUAGACUUGAAAUUGCAGGAAAAGGUAACCCACAAGGAGUUCUUUAGUGAAAGUACCAUGGCAACCUCAUGGAGUGGAAAAAGCUAUAUUAUAGUUAUCCUAGGCUUUUCAUAGGUUUACUCUUAUAAAUUAGAAGGAGAAGUUCUUUUUUUUUGCUUGCAGGGAAGGGGAUGUAAUACUUGGUUAUUAAAAAAUGUUAAUUUUUAUGCUUAAUGUUAAUUAGAUUGAAUUUAGAUAUUAAAACUAGUUUAAGGUUGAUAAUUUUAAUUAUAAGUUAGACCCAAUUUAAUGCUAAUUAUAAUUAAUUGAUGGCUUAAGUUUGUGUGUUAAGGAUGUGGGGCCUAAUUACAAUUAUGAGAACUUUAAAAGGAUGGACCAUUUAAGAAAUCUUAAAAAGUAAAAAGUAGGGGACUUCAAUGUAAAAAAUAAGUUGGUUUGUAUUAGCUCUAGGGCAUUGCUCCAAAAGUAUUUAAGAAACUAACAACUAUAAUAAGAAGUCUUACUUAGAAGAAGUCUUGCUAAAUUUAAAGAUAAAAAUUUUUAGAAAAGUAAUUGUAAUUAGAUUGGUUAAAUAAAUUCCACGCCAUCUAUGUCAUGUCAAAUUUUGUAUGUUGACCCAUUUUCUUGUGUGCAAAUAUUAUUAUUUUGAAUUUAAUGUUUGUAUAACUUUAAAACAUGUUUACAUAGUUAAAAUGAGUCCGUUAUAUAUAAAAUAUAAAAGACUUCUCUUCCUAGUUGAUAUGGUAUCUCAUCAAUCACCCUCUCUCUCGUGCAUAUAUGACUUUCUUGUUACAUUCCAUGGUACAAAAUUCAUACAUUAAGAAGUUGAUCAUUGUAGGUGGUAUCGUGCAAUGGCAUGGGACAUGAUGAGGUCAUCAUUUAGGCUAUAAGAACUCAUUUAGAUAUGGGAUGAUUAUGAGAACUUAUUUAGGUUAUAAGGAAAAGUUCUUGACAAUUUAUAUACAAUGUGUUCCUCUAAACUAUAUAAACAUAUUUUAAAACAACUAGGUUAUUUAAGGUUUGAACUUGAAGAAGACGAUAUUUGUACAAAAGGAAGAGUGUCAUUACAAAUUGAAUACCUCAUUAAAUUUGGAAAUUUAAAAUCUAUUUGUCCUCAUUUUGUCCACAUAGGACAAGACAAGAACAUUUUGUCCAUAUAUGUGAAUGAUUAUGAGAUCCAAUGUCAUGUGCGACACAUGACCAAAAGUUUCUAAUAUUCCAUAUAUAGUGAGAUCUCCUUAUUUGUGUUGAUGUGUUUUAAAACUUCGAGAUCCAUAGACAUUAAGUCCGAGACACAAAUCAAAGCAAUCCUUCAUCAAAUGUGGGAGUGUAUAAAAGCUAAUCCUCCACAUAUGGAAGUUUGUCCAAUCCUACAAUUCCAUAGGAUAUGAGAGUUUGUUUGGGAGGGUUAGAGGAAAUAGUUGUGAGAUCUUAUAUUGGUUAUUUAGGGAGAUAUAAUAUUUUAUAUAUGGUAGACUUUUUUUUAGCCAUAUAGACGUAUUUUAAAUUCACACAGACCUUAAGCUUAGAGCAGAUGAUAUUUAAAUAUAAAGGAUAUAUUCAUUACAAAUGGUAUUAUAGUUAGAUAUAAAAGUCUUUUUUAUUGGUCUUGUGGGAUCCCAUAUUAGUUAGGAAGAGAAGUUCUUGACACUUCAUAUGUAGAGAACUCCUUUUGAUCAUAUAUAGAUGUGUUUUCAAGCCAUGCAAGCCUUAAGUUGAUAACAGUCAAUAUCUACCAAGAGCAUAUUAUUACAAAUUGUUUUUUAGUGAAUUUUUAGACAAGUUGAAUCUAACCUUAGAAAGAAUUAGAUCGGCAGAAUUAUUUGACAUUUAAAUUUGAUUUAAGUUUAUGGUAAAUGGAGUUAAUCAAGAGCAAGAAUGAGCAAACUCCACUUGUUAUUACAUCAUUGUUGGACAACCCUACCUCAGAUGCCCAUACACCCCCUAUGCUCUGUUCCCAUUGUUUGAGAUCUGAGAGCAGGGAAGCUUGGCCAUAUUGCAAGGGGCCUGUACCAUCGCCCAGCUGCAUGCUACAGAAAACAUGUGCCACGACCAUGGAACACUCACUGAAUUUGUGCAGAGUUGUAUAGUUUUUGCUACCUUGCUGCUAGAGAACAGUUCCUUGUAUAUCCAAUUUCUGUAUGAAAUUGUGGAAUCCCAAGAAAAGAAAAUGGAGAAAUUCAGUUCAAUUUGGAAAAGUCAGACUUCUAGAAGAGUCGAACAACUUAGGGAAUGAAAAUCUUAAAAUUCAAUGCAGAAAGGUUUGGAAAAGUUAUUAGCCAUGUCUGAAGUAUAUUUUUGACAUUGUCAAUGCCCCUGAAGUAUAUUUUUGAAGUCUAUGAACUAUUUUGACCGGAAGCCACCUUAAUAAACUCUACAAGACCAAUUCAUAAGGCAUUUUGUUGAGGUUAGAAAUUUCCUCAACAGCGCAUAGAUUAAUCUGUGUUGAUGCUUGUUCCAACCAUUCUGGAUGGCGGUCAAGGUUAAGGGAUCAGCCAACAAGGCUUAUAUCAUACCCUAAUCAAUCUCUAGUUGCGUAAUUUUCAAUUUCGGUUCAUUUUUUUAUCAGUUUAGUUGGGUGCAACAAAGUCACUUUUGAACUUGAGAAUGGAUCAUUCCAAUGACAACUCUUAGAACAAUCUAUAGGAUAUGAUGUUAAAUGUUAAUAAAAAGUUAACUUCUGGAUACCAAUUGACUUCCAUGAUCCUAGAAUUCAUAUCAGAGUCAAGGAUUAUGAUUCAAGUCAUGAGAGCAUCAUGUUAAGAUGCAGCAACAUCACUUUAGGGAUAGAUCACCCAAAACUCUUAAAACAAACUUAUGUGGUAUGAUGUUGAAUGCUAUAAAAAGUUUGGCCUAUAUUAACCUAUAGGUUUUUCGAAUGAGAUGAUCAAAACCCCUGAUCCAACAAUUGAUAUUAGAGCCGAGAGUCACGGUCAAGUCAUGGGAGUGUCAUGUUGGUGCACAAUAAUGCUGCUACAGAAUGAUGACUCACUCAAACGACAACUCUUAGAACAGGUCUAGAGGGCACGAUGUGAAAUAUCUUAAAAAGAAUUGCUGGCCUACCUCACUGGCAAUUGGGUUUCAGCCAGAAAUGCUUCUGUUGCGUACUCUGCAUUAAUGUCCCCAUCCAAGGGUGGUUCAGCACAACAAGCAAUCCAUAAACAAAGCAAGUAAAUACAUUCUAACUCUAAAAAAUCAAAGUUUGAAAUCAAGUAAAUACAUGGCAGCUUCAAGUCGAAGAAAGUUUGGAAUCAUUAGGAGACUGAUUAUUAGAACAAGUCAAUGGAAGAAAACAAAUUGAAAACCAUCUAUAAAAUUUUCAAGCACACCUGAACAAAAUGGAGAUUUCAUCAUUUCUCUAGUGAUUUACAAUCUAGAGAUUUUGGCUUAAAUUCUUGAAGUUCACGUCUUUGUAAUUUUAUCUUCCUGCAAUGAAAACUGCAGUACCUUAUUGUCUCUGCUGGUUGCCUCUCCUCCUCCUCCUCCUCCUCCUCCUGCUGCUGCUCCCAGCGUCGGUUGUUGCUCAAGCUUACAGUAACAAAACUCUGGGCUCGUCCCUCACAGCAGGAGACAAUGAAUCUUGGGCAUCAGAGUCUGGCGAAUUCGCUUUUGGAUUCCAAGAGAUUGGAACUGGGGGUUACUUGCUGGCUGUUUGGUUCAACAAGAUAUCUGAAAAGACGGUAGUUUGGUCAGCCAAUGGGGGUAAUCUAGCGAAAAAGGGAUCCAAAGUUCAACUUACUAGUGAUGGAAGUUUUGUGCUGAACGAUCAGGAAGGUGAAAAGAUAUGGCCGGUUGAUUCUACGAUUACUGGUGUGGCCUAUGCAGCCAUGCUCGACAGUGGAAACUUCGUGCUGGCAAGGCAGGAUUCCAUGAAUUUGUGGGAGAGUUUUGAUAAUCCAACAGAUACGAUAUUGCCCACACAGGCAAUGAAUCAAGGCAGCAAGCUGCUUGCUCGUUUAUCAGAAACGAAUUACUCAAGUGGAAGAUUCAUGUUUACACUAGAAUCUACUGGAAAUCUGGCGAUGUACACCACUAAUUUCCCACAGGAUUCUGAAAAUUUUGCUUACUGGUCAUCAAAGACUACUGGCAGUGGCUUUCAAGUGAUUUUCAACCAGUCUGGUUCCAUCUACCUUAUGGCGAGCAAUGGAAGCAAACUUAUGGAUGUGCUCACAAAUGAAGCUUCAACAGAAGACUACUACCAGAGAGCAAUUCUUGAAUAUGAUGGAGUUUUCAGACAAUAUGUCUACCCAAAGUCUUCUGGCUCAAGUGCUGGGAGGCCUAUGGCAUGGUCCUCUUUAACCUCGUUUGUGCCUGACAAUAUCUGCACAAGUAUCAGGGCAGAGACAGGCAGUGGAGCUUGUGGCUUCAACAGCUACUGCACAAUGGGAAAUGAUGACAGACCAUACUGUCAGUGCCCUCCUGGUUACACCUUCUUGGAUCCACAAGAUGAUAUGAAUGGAUGCAAACAGAACUUUGAACCAGAGAGUUGCAGUGAAGAAUCACAAGAGAAGGGUCUGUUUGGUUUUGAAGAGAUGACGGAUGUGGACUGGCCGCUGUCAGAUUAUGGGCAUUUUACAGAAGUAACAGAGGAUUGGUGCAGACAAGCUUGCUUGGAUGAUUGUUUUUGUGAUGUUGCCAUUUUUGGAGAUGGGGGGGAUUGUUGGAAGAAGAGAACCCCUCUCUCAAAUGGGAGGACUGAGUCUAAUAAUGGACGAAGAAUUCUGAUUAAAGUACGGAAGGACAAUUCUACUUCGGAACCCAGAAAUGAAGGUAAAAAAGAUCAGUCAACUUUGAUCAUCACAGAAUCUGUGCUGUUAGGUGGCUCUGUUUUUCUGAAUUGCCUCCUCCUCCUAGCAGCUUUUAUUAAGAGAAAGUCAAAGACUCUUCAGCCACACCAGGCCAUGGUGGGGGCAAAUCUAAAAACUUUCAGUUACAAGGCGCUAGAAGUGGCUACUAAUGGCUUCAAGGAUGAGCUGGGAAGGGGAGCUUUUGCAACAGUUUACAAAGGGGCUCUACCCCAUGAUGAUGGAAUCAAUUUGAUUGCAGUGAAGAAGCUGGAGAGGAUGGAGAAAGAAGGAGACAAGGAAUUUGGGGCAGAAGUGAAAGCAAUUGGCCGGACAAAUCACAAGAACCUAGUCCAACUCCUGGGGUACUGCAAUGAGGGGCAACACCGGCUUCUAGUAUACGAGUUCAUGAGCAAUGGUUCUUUGGCAACCUUCCUAUUUGGAAAUUCAAGGCCAGAUUGGUGUAAAAGAACACGGAUCAUCCUAGGAACUGCAAGAGGGCUCUUGUACUUGCAUGAGGAGUGCAGCACCCAGAUCAUACACUGUGACAUCAAGCCUCAAAACAUACUUUUAGAUGACUUUUUAACAGCAAGGAUUUCAGAUUUUGGGCUAGCCAAGCUUUUGAAGACGGAUCAGACGCGAACCAUGACUGGAAUCAGGGGAACCAAAGGGUAUGUUGCCCCUGAAUGGUUCAAGACAGUGCCUGUUACAGCCAAGAUUGAUGUUUACAGCUUUGGGAUUGUGUUGCUAGAGAUCAUUUUCUGCAGGAAGAACUUCGCACCCGAUGUAAGGGAUGAAAGUCAGAUGAUCCUGGCUGAUUGGGUGCAAGACUGCUACAAAGAGAAGAGAUUGGAUUUGCUGGUAGGAAAUGAUGAAGAGGCAUUUGGUGAUAUGGAGAAACUGGAGAAGUUUGUGAUGAUAGCAAUAUGGUGUACUCAGGAGGAUCCAUCUCGAAGACCCACCAUGAAGAAAGUUGUGCAAAUGCUAGAAGGAGCUGCUGAAGUUUCUAUUCCUCCAGACUCAUCUUUCUCAUCUGCCAGUAGUUCAAUCCAAUUCUAAUUUCCAUUUGGGUAUGCAUUUUUGGUUACUUUUUAGUGACAAAUAAAGGAGACAGUUAUGUUGUGCUCCUAGCAUAUGAAUAAUCCAUAUGGUUUUGGAUCAUUUUUUACAUCAACCUCUGCUCAUCUCUCAAUUCAAAUUAUUAUUCCCUUUGAAGAAGUUAAAUUUUGGCUAUUUUUAUCCAACCAUUUAUUAUACAUAAAUGACUUAAAUCAAUGGUUAUUUGCGAACCCACAACAAUAACAAGUCAUUAAGAGUUCAUUUGAUAGUGCUUUUUAAAAAUACUUUUAAGCUUAAAAAGCAUUUUUAAAGAAAAAUAGGGUAUUUGACAAAAUUUAGAAAACACUUUAAAAAAUCAUUUAUGGUAAUAAAAAAUCACUAAUAAUAUUUUUUGGAGAAACGCUUGACUGAAAAGUAUAUGACUUGAUUAAAUAAAUACCAUGGCUAAGAAAAGAAACAUUUUAACUCUUACUAUAUACUGCAAUAUUUGGCAAAACCAAAGUUUUUGCCUUCCAUUAGCCUCUCUCCAUUUUACAUAUACUUAAUAAGAUGGUAUUGGUCGAAUCACCUUUUACCUAUAGGUUAAAGAUAAUAAAAUGUUAGGGUACUAAUUGAUGCCUAUGAAACUUAUUAUUCGAACUGUCCAAAUCGUAUAAUAAAAUCUAAGUCAAUGAAUAUGGAUACAAAUAAUGGAAUUAAAGUACAAAAGAAUGGAAUUGUAUAUAACCAAUGAGAUCAAUAUUGAAUAAAAGAAUGUGAUCAAAAUGCAAAGCAGUGUUAUGCUCAAGCUAACAUAUAAAUAAUCCAUAUGGUUUUGGAUCAUUAUCUACCUUCACUCAUCUCUCAUAUCAUUAUCCACAGUUUUGUUAAAUUCUGACCAUCAAGAUGACCCAAAUCAAUGUGCAUUUUUAGCACCCACAACAAAAGUCAUUAGUUUCAAUAGUAGGUUGCAGUUUGUAAAAGAUACCUAAGAGAUGUACAAUCCCCUAAAUUUGCUAUUUAAACCCAUGGUGGCGAAAGAAGUUCGCAUACAAAAAGAAAAAAAUGUAUCUAUUUUGCUCUAUGCUAGACUAAAUAGUAUAACUUGAUUAAAUAAAUAUGAUAAUUAAGUAAACAGAUGGCUUAACUCUAAACAAGGUCCAAUAUUUGGCAAAAUCAAACUAUCUGACUUCCAUUAACCUCUCUCUCCAUAGUCCAUAUUAUAUGUGCUCUACAAGAUGAUAACAAUUGAAUUACCUUCAUAAGGAAAAUGCUAGGGUAUAAGUCAAUAGCUAUUGAACUUGCCAUUCCAAUAGUCCAAGAUGCAUGAUGAUAUGUAGGGUACAAAAGAAUUAAAAUAUAUUAGGAUCAACUCAUAAAAUAAUGACAUCAAGAUAUGAUGAAACGAAUUUGGGUAUGAAGCAAUAAGGCCUAAUUGUUCAUGUGACACAUUAUGAUUGAUCCUACUUUUCAAUAUUUAUUGAUUCAAUACUAUAGCAGAACCCUCCAAUAUAUCUAUGAUCUCUACCAUAUAAUUUUAUGUGUGAUAUCUAAGAAAUGUGUACUUUGAUCUUAGAAGAAGUGAGUUUUUUUCCAAGCUGCAUUGAGUAACUUGAGAUUCUCAUAUCCAAGUAGCAUAGAGAGUAGCCUUACCACAAAAUUAUAUGGUCUAUAUGACGUGUUUUAUGUGUUCUAAUAUAUUUCAAAUGACUUGGUUUUGUGUGGCUUGAACUUGCAAGAAAAGGUAAUGUAUAAGGAGGGACAUAUGUAGAUUUUGGAUGGAAAGUAACAAAUAUUGUAACUAAGGUUAUUUCUUUGGUGGAAGUACCAUAGCAAUCUCAUGGAGUGGAAAAAGAUAUAUCAAAGUUGUCCUAGGCUUUUUAUACUUUUAUUCUUUUAAAUUAGAAGGACAAAAUUUUUGUUAGGGGAGGGGAUGUGAUAUUUGGUUGUAAAAAAUGUUAAUUUUUAUGCUUAAUGUUGCCUUUAAUUAGAUGUUAAAACUGGUUUAAGGUUGAUCAUGGUUAGGCCUAAUUUAAGAUUAGUUAUAAUUAAUUGAUGACUUAAGUUUAUGUGUUGGGAUGAUUGACCUAAUUACAAUUAUGAGAACUUGAAAAGAUGAAUUAUUUAGGAAGUCUUAAAAGUAAAAAGUGGGGACUUCAGUGUAAAAAGUAAGUUUUGUAGUAGCUCUACAGCAUUGGCACCUAAAACUUUCUCUGCAGAGUAUUUAAGAAGCUAAUAAUUUUUAUAAGUCUUGCUUUAGAAGAAGACUCACUAAUUCUUAAGUAAUAAAAUUAUCAUUAAAAUUGUGGAAUCCCAAGAAAAGAAAAUAGAGAGAUUCAGUCCAAUUUGGAAAAGUCAGACUUCUAGAAUUCAAUGCAGAAAGGUUUGGAAAAGUUAUUAGCCACGUCUGAAGUAUAUUUUUGACAUUGUCAAUGCCCCUGAAGAACAGUCUUUUAUUUAUUAUAUUCAAAAAUCUUGAAGUCUAAGAACUCUUUUGACCAGAAGCUACCUUAAUAAACUCUACAAGACUAAGUCAUAAGCAAUUUGUUGAGGUUAGAAAUUUCGUCAACAGCACAUGGAUUAAUCUGGUGUUGAUGCUUGUUGCAAGCAUUCUGGAUGGCCGUCAAGGUUAAGGGAUCAGCCAACAAGGCUUAUAUCAUACUCUAAUCAAUCUCUAGUUGUGUAAUUUUCAAUUUUGGUUCAUUUUUAUCAGUUUUGUUGGGGUGCAACAAAGUCACUUUUAAACCCGGAUGGAUCAUUCAAAUAACAACUCUUAGAACAACUUGUAGGAUAUGAUGUCAAAUGUCAAUAAAAAGUUUGAAUUAUUGAUACUAACUGACUUUCAUGAUCCUAGAAUUCAUAUCAGAGUCGAGGAUCAUGAUUCAAGUCAUGGAGCAUCAUGUUAAGAUACAACAACGUCAAUUUGGGGGUAGACCACCCAAAUGACCGAAUCUUAAAAUAAACUUAUGUGGUAUGAUGUUGAAUGCUAUAAAAAGUUUGACCUACAUUAACACCAAUUGGUUUUUCAAAUGAGAUGAUCAAAAUCCCGGAUCCAACAAUUGAUAUUAGAACUGAGAGUCAUGGGAGUGUCAUGUUGGGGUGCAACAAUGCUGCUACAGGAUGACUCACUCAAACAGACAACUCUUAGAACAGGCCUAGAGGGUACGAUGUGGAAUAUCUUGAAAAGAAUUGCUGGCCUACCUCACUGGCAAUUGGGUUUCAGCUAGAAAGGAUUCUGUUGCGUACUCUGCAUUGAUGUCCCCAUCCAAGGGUGGUUCAGCACGACAAGCAAACCAUAAACAAAGCAAGUAAAUACAUUCUAACUCUGAAAAAUCAAAGUUUGAAAUCAAGUAAAUACAUGGAAGCUUCCCCCACAAUUUCAGUAGACAGUGACACAAAUGUCAAAGACUCAGGCGGUGUUUAUUUUUUUACUUAAUUCUAAAUAGAACCUUAAUACUUAAUAGUAUUAAAUAUUAGGUUGUUUGUUUUUUAGUAUUUUAUUUCUAUUAAGUAUUAAAAAGUAAAAAAAAUCAUUAUGUUAUUUUUUCUAUUUAGAAAAAACCACAUAUUUUGGCUUUUUCUAUUUAGUAAAAAGUUUAUAAUAAGUCAUGAAAAAGUAAAAAAACAAACAACCUAAAUUCUAAAACUAAAUGGUUUUCAGUAAAAAGCCAAAAAAACAAACACCACCUCAGUCUAAGAAAGUUUGGAACCACUAGGAGACUGAUUAUUAAAACAAGUCAAUGGAAGACAACAAACUGAAAACCCUCUAUAAAAUUUUCAAGCACAUCUGAACAAAAUGGAGAUUUCAUCAUUUCUCUAACGAUUUAGAAUCUAAUAGAUUUUCGCUUAAAUCCUUGAAGUUCAUGUCUUUGUAAGCUUAUCUUCCUGCAAUGAAAACUGCAGUACCUUAUUGUCUCUGCUGGUUGCCUCUCCUCCUCCUCCUCCUCCUCCUGCUGCUGCUGCUCCCAGCGUCGGUUGUUGCUCAAGCUUAUAGUAACAAAACUCUGGGCUCAUCCCUCACAGCGGGAGACAGUGAAUCUUGGGCAUCAGAGUCUGGCGAAUUCGCUUUUGGAUUCCAAGAGAUUGGAACUGGGGGUUACUUGCUGGCUGUUUGGUUCAACAAGAUAUCUGAAAAGACCGUAGUUUGGUCAGCCAAUGGGGGUAAUCUAGUGAAAAAGGGAUCCAAAGUUCAACUUACUAGUGAUGGAAAUUUUGUGCUGAAUGAUCAGGAAGGUGAAAAGAUAUGGCCGGUUGAUUCUACGAUUACUGGUGUGGCCUAUGCAGCCAUGCUCGACAGUGGAAACUUCGUGCUGGUAAGGCAGGAUUCCAUUAAUUUGUGGGAGAGUUUUGAUAAUCCAACAGAUACGAUAUUGCCCACACAGGCACUGAAUCAAGGCAGCAAGCUUGUUGCUCGUUUAUCAGAAAAGAAUUACUCGAGUGGAAGAUUCAUGUUUAAGCUACGGUCAAAUGGAAGUCUGACGAUGUACACCACUGAUUUUCCACAGGAUUCUGAAAAUUUUCCUUAUUGGUCAUCACAGACUACUGGCUUUCAAGUGAUUUUCAACCAGUCCGGUUCCAUCUACCUUAUGGCGAGGAAUGGAAGCAAACUUAUGGAUGUGCUCACAAAUGAAGCUUCAACAGAAGACUACUACCAGAGAGCAAUUCUUGAAUAUGAUGGAGUUUUCAGACAAUAUGUCUACCCAAAGUCUGCUGGCUCAAGUGCUGGGAGGCCUAUGGCAUGGUCCUCUUUAACCUCGUUCGUGCCCAAGAAUAUCUGCAAAAGUAUCAGGGCAGAGAUAGGCAGUGGAGCUUGUGGCUUCAACAGUUACUGCACAAUGGGAAAUGAUGACAGGCCAUACUGCCAGUGCCCUCCUCGUUACACCUUCUUGGAUCCACAAGAUGAUAUGAGUGGAUGCAAACAGAACUUUGUACCAGAGAGUUGCAGUGAAGAAUCACAAGAGAAGGGUCUGUUUGGUUUUGAAGAGAUGACAGAUGUGGACUGGCCGCUGUCAGAUUAUGGGCAUUUUACAAAAGUUACAGAGGAUUGGUGCAGACAAGCUUGCUUGGAUGAUUGUUUUUGUGAUGUUGCCAUUUUUGGAGAUGGGGGGGGUUGUUGGAAGAAGAGAACCCCUCUCUCAAAUGGGAGGACUGAGUCUAAUAAUGGACGAACAAUUCUGAUUAAAGUACGGAAAGACAAUUCUACUUGGGAACCCAGAAGUGAAGGUAACAAAGAUCAGUCAACUUUGAUCAUCACAGAAUCUGUGCUGCUAGGUGGCUCUGUUUUUCUGAAUUGCCUUCUCCUCCUAUCAGCUUUUAUGUACAUCUUCCGUAAGAGAAAGUCAAAGACUCUUCAGCCACACCAGGCCAUGGUGGGGGCAAAUCUAAAAAAUUUCAGUUACAAGGCGCUAGAAGUGGCUACCGAUGGCUUCAAGGAUGAGCUGGGAAGGGGAGCUUUUUCAACAGUUUACAAAGGGACUCUAGCCCAUGAUAAUGGAAAAUUAGUUGCAGCAAAGAAGUUGGACAGGAUGGUGAGAGGAGUGGAGGUGGAAUUUGAAACAGAAGUGAGUGCAAUUGGCCGAACAAAUCACAAGAAUCUAGUCCAGCUCCUGGGGUUCUGCAAUGAGGAGCAACACCGGCUUCUUGUAUACGAGUUCAUGAGCAAUGGUUCUUUGGCAACCUUCCUAUUUGGAAACUCAAGGCCAGACUGGUAUAGAAGAACACAGAUCAUCUUAGGAACUGCAAGAGGGCUCUUGUACUUGCAUGAAGAGUGCAGCACCCAGACCAUACAUUGUGACAUCAAGCCUCAAAAUAUACUCCUGGAUGACUUUUUAACAGCGAGGAUUUCAGAUUUUGGGCUAGCCAAGCUUUUGAAGACGGAUCAGACU